Molecule: ribosomal RNA, 500 nt
Filed under: uncultured bacterium
Lineage: Bacteria
Description: partial 16S ribosomal RNA
Rfam family: Bacterial small subunit ribosomal RNA
Source: RNAcentral
AUUGAACGCUGGCGGCAUGCCUUACACAUGCAAGUCGAACGGCAGCACGGGAGCAAUCCUGGUGGCGAGUGGCGAACGGGUGAGUAAUAUAUCGGAACGUGCCCAGUCGUGGGGGAUAACGCAGCGAAAGCUGUGCUAAUACCGCAUACGAUCUACGGAUGAAAGCGGGGGAUCGCAAGACCUCGCGCGAUUGGAGCGGCCGAUAUCAGAUUAGCUAGUUGGUGAGGUAAAGGCUCACCAAGGCGACGAUCUGUAGCUGGUCUGAGAGGACGACCAGCCACACUGGAACUGAGACACGGUCCAGACUCCUACGGGAGGCAGCAGUGGGGAAUUUUGGACAAUGGGCGAAAGCCUGAUCCAGCAAUGCCGCGUGCAGGAUGAAGGCCUUCGGGUUGUAAACUGCUUUUGUACGGAACGAAACGGUGAGCUCUAGUACAGUUUGCUAAUGACGGUACCGUAAGAAUAAGCACCGGCUAACUACGUGCCAGCAGCCGCAGUAA